UACGUAGGCAGCGAGCGUUGUUCGGAGUUACUGGGCGUAAAGGGUGCGUAGGCGGUUGUUUUAAGUUUGGUGUGAAAUCUCCCGGCUCAACUGGGAGGGUGCGCCGAAUACUGAAUGACUAGAGUGCGGGAGAGGAUAGUGGAAUUCCUGGUGUAGCGGUGAAAUGCGUAGAUAUCAGGAGGAACACCUGUGGUGUAGACAGCUUACUGGACCACUUCUGACGCUGAGACACGAAAGCGUGGGUAGCAAACAGG
RNAcentral lists this ribosomal RNA (254 nucleotides) under uncultured bacterium. RNAcentral describes it as "partial 16S ribosomal RNA". It matches the Rfam family "Bacterial small subunit ribosomal RNA", at positions 524 to 776 of the family's 1533-position model. The record is from RNAcentral.